GAAAAAUUCCCGCCGGGGAAAUCGCAUGAAAUAUAUCAUUAGGCCUUAGAAGAUAUAUUCCAUGCUUUUUAUUUUUA
This 77-nucleotide non-coding RNA is filed under the name unclassified sequences. The record is from RNAcentral.